CACACGCGGGGCUGCAUCCUUUUUAUUCACCCGGUGACUCAACACAGGCUUCUCCAGAUCCCCACCCUAAGGAUGCAUCCCCACCGCAGCUACUUGCCUUCCUAGCCCCCUCCACCCAAUUCCUAAUUCCAUUGUCAGGGUUGAACAAAAGGCCCAGGCAUGGCAUCCUGGGUUGAAGGAUUUUUAACUCUGCCAAUCCCAGGAGGCUCCGACGUACAGCAGCUUCCUGUGGGAGAAUAGUGACUGAGACAUCUCCCUCAGGCUACUGAGGAUGUCCCCAGAGAACUCCCAGAGGCCAUCGGGUCUUGAGGUCCGGAUGACUUCCGAGGUGUGAGACUGGAGCAAUUCCCAUAGGGUCUUCCCUACAGUCCCGGGUCCAGCUCGGCUGGGACAUCCCAGCGGGGAAUUGGCGGGGGAAGACGGCGCGUUCUGGAACAAAUCUGCAUUAGUGCACAAGCCCUGUUCAGCCCACCUGGCGUUAAAGUUAACCUCACCUCAACGCGGGCUAAAUUCUCCACCAGACAGAGACGAGCCGGAAGAGAAACGUGCUGGGGAAGGUGCCAGAGCUGCAGACACUCCCCAGCCCUUCAGAGUUGAUGGUGAAGAACCCCAGACUCUGCUGAAGGCUUCCUAUGAAGUUCAGACCACAGAAAAUGAUGGCAUCAAGCACAGAUGAAAAGGAACAGUGUGUAACUGUGUGUGCUCAGGCACCAUUAAUAUGUGUUGAGCAUUUCACAGAGCAAGUUCACAGACACGCAUGUGUCCUGCAGAGUGAGAGCAGAGACAAAACCAGGAUCCUGAAGUCCUGUGAGAGAUCUGUGGGCAGUGGUCACUCAGACCUGGGCCAAGGAUGGGGUUCUUCUGUGAUGAUGGGAGAAAGUGUCCUGGACAAACAGGGGAGAGCAUGGAUGUGGAGCUGUGUGCUGUGUGCAAGGCUGAGCAGGGAGAGCACGGAUGUGGAGCUGUGUGUGAAGGCCGAGUCCUUCGUCUCUUCUGUUUUUACCUGUUUCAUCUGUAAUCGGGCUCUUCCUAGAGGACCAGCUCCCUCCUGCCUCCUGGUGGUGGCUAACCUCUUCACAGUCUUUCCCGUCAAGUGGUUGGAUGCUGAUCCUACCCAGCACAAUGGCCUCUUCUUGAUGAAGUCUAUCUGUCACAACAGGUUUCAAAUCAACUGCAGACUGCUCCAGCAGCUUGCCAGCUCCAGGUGUUCCCUCGAAAUCUGGAUCCUGGACAUCUUCAAAGCAGCUAGCCCCAGUGGUCCAGUUUCAAAGAUGCCACCUGCACUUCUCUAGCCCCAGAUGGUCCUGAAGAGUCUGGACAAAGAGUGAAACAGUCUGCUCUUCCUGACUUGGCCAGCAUCCCCGCUUUCUUGGGUCCCCAAAGAUGUCAAUGUCUCCAGACAACAGGAAGUAGUCUAAAAAAUCACAUGCCCAGGCUGGAGAGAUGGCUCAGAGGUUAAGAGCACUGACUGCUCUUCCAGGGGUCCCAAAUUGCUCUUCCAAUUCCCAGCAACCACAUGGUGGCUCACAACCAUCUACAAUUCAAUCUGGUACCCUCUUCUGGCACGUAGGCAGAACACUGUGUAUGUAAUAAAUAAAUAAAGCUUUAAAAAUAUCACACUCCCCCACCCUGCCUCACCAGCCACCCCUUACUAUUUCCUCACCUUCUGUAAUAAGUUAUGAGGGAAGGACGUUGGUAAACUGAGAACCACUCACAUUCCAGAACCAAGUACUCCCUCAGCCUGCUUUCAGCAACUCAGUGUCAGCAGUCAAGUCAUCACCAGCUGCAAAAGCAACACAUUUGCACUGUGCCCAAGAGUCAGGUACCCUUUAUAAAGCCCGAAGGUGUGAGCCCUGCCCCUCCUUUUCUAUCCUUGCUCAGAAUGGGCCUUUUGCUCUCCACCCCUAAUAAAUCUCUUGCAUGAGAUCUAUUGCAUGGUUUAAACUUUUCAGACUUUCCUUGGUCCUGCUAUCACUGCAAAAUCCUAACACAAGGUUUCAUUUAGUUCAGGCUGGCCUAGAACUUUCUGUGUAGCAGAGGCUAUCCUUGGACUCCCAAUCCUGUCUGCAGCUCCCAUGUUCUAGGCUUAGAGGUGUGUGUGCCACCAUGCUUGGCAAAACAAAAACAAACAAACAAAAGAGAAACAAACAAAACAAAAACAAACAAAAAACCCUCAUUGUGUAACCUAAGACUUUAAUUUUGAAGCACUUGAAGAACAUCAAUUGAUAAAAUGUAAUGAAUACAAAUGUGUGGACUCUGGGGAAAUAAAAUUACUCAUAUAGUUCCAUUUCCAUAGAUAGGGCUUCUUUUUGUAUUUUAAAUGACUGGCAAUCUAAGGGUGGUUUUCACAUUUUUAAAGGGUAGAAAAAUAGGCAAAGAAGAAGAUGGGGGAGAUAUCUGCAUGGGCAUAUGUAGCUGGACCCGCCCUCCGCUGCAGGCCAGCUGCAGCCCUGGGGAAAGGUAGCUUUGCUUCCAUCCCAAUGGUAACUGACAGAAGUUACAGUCUCCAAGUUGCUAUGCCGACCGGGAAUUCAGCUCUUAAAAUAGGAGACUGU
This 2555-nucleotide long non-coding RNA is filed under the name Cricetulus griseus (Chinese hamster). RNAcentral's name for it is "lncRNA (ENSCGRG00015040717.1)". Lineage: Eukaryota; Metazoa; Chordata; Mammalia; Rodentia; Cricetidae. The record is from RNAcentral.